AUGCAAGUCGAGCGGGGGAAGGUAGCUUGCUACUGGACCUAGCGGCGGACGGGUGAGUAAUGCUUAGGAAUCUGCCUAUUAGUGGGGGACAACAUCUCGAAAGGGAUGCUAAUACCGCAUACGUCCUACGGGAGAAAGCAGGGGAUCUUCGGACCUUGCGCUAAUAGAUGAGCCUAAGUCGGAUUAGCUAGUUGGUGGGGUAAAGGCCUACCAAGGCGACGAUCUGUAGCGGGUCUGAGAGGAUGAUCCGCCACACUGGGACUGAGACACGGCCCAGACUCCUACGGGAGGCAGCAGUGGGGAAUAUUGGACAAUGGGCGCAAGCCUGAUCCAGCCAUGCCGCGUGUGUGAAGAAGGCCUUAUGGUUGUAAAGCACUUUAAGCGAGGAGGAGGCUACUUUAGAUAAUACCUAGAGAUAGUGGACGUUACUCGCAGAAUAAGCACCGGCUA
RNAcentral lists this ribosomal RNA (450 nucleotides) under Acinetobacter nosocomialis. Its description in RNAcentral is "bacterial SSU rRNA". It matches the Rfam family "Bacterial small subunit ribosomal RNA", at positions 55 to 499 of the family's 1533-position model. Lineage: Bacteria; Pseudomonadati; Pseudomonadota; Gammaproteobacteria; Moraxellales; Moraxellaceae. The record is from RNAcentral.